This is a long non-coding RNA of Trachemys scripta elegans, 1654 nucleotides long. RefSeq lists it as uncharacterized. The transcript has 5 exons. Lineage: Eukaryota; Metazoa; Chordata; Testudines; Emydidae. The record is from RefSeq and is a predicted model, not a curated record.
UCGCAUAAUCCUCAUUCUGGUGGAAAAGCUUUCUCAGGUUUAGCGGCAGUAAAGGCAGCGGAAAUGUGUUAUUCCUGUAGUGCAAUAAUGUUUUCCUAAUCUCAGUAUCUUUUUAAACAUGUCCACAUGUAGUAUGCUUCCAGAGCAUUCCGGGUCCAAGUCACAGCUGCAGAGAGCAGUCAGAAAGUUUGAACUACUGGCACAUUCCAGCCAUCCAUUUCCCCUUCCUCAGUAUUCCUGGAGAAUGAUUCUACAAAAAAGUCCAGAGGCAUCUUAUCUUUCUUCUUCUGUAUGUUCCCGUUGGCAACCUGGUUGGCACUUUGGAUAUGUUUUUUCACUUCUUCUGUUUAUAAGAUAUACAUAUUAAUCAAGGGGAUUUUCAUGUGCCAAACCAAAAGUGUGCAGUGUCAAGAGCAACCUGAUGAAACCAGUCACAGGAGUAAAUUAAACAAGAACGAGGGAGAGAGAGAUUUGGACCUCUUUUGAAUACUGCAGCCCAACAGCCAAGCAGGAAAUAAAAAAAAGCGCUAGCCGGGCAGAUCUACAGAGCCAAUUGAGUCCAAAAGAAUGUCAAGGCUACCAAGCACUUCCACCCUUGCUGCUGCAUGAAAGAUGUGGAAGGACCAAACCUUCAGGGUCAUGUUUUUCUACUGCCUAAGGUUAAAGAAAAGAACAUGUUUCUGCAUCAGUGGUGGUUCUGGAGAAGAGAGGAUAUGGGCAACAUCUCUUGGUUUCUUCUGCCCCAUGUCUUAAGAAAUUUGCCGUGAUAAUUGGACAACCUGUCUCCUCAAAAGGCCUCAGCCCUCUCAGUUGUUAGCUGCUUUCACAAAGGACUUCACCAGCUAAGCAACACGCACAUUCGGUUUGCCCAAAGCCUUUGCGCUAACCUCCAGAUGCAUUCUUGGAUGCUGUUAGAAGCAUAGACAGUUGCAAACCUCAGAUCUUUUUUUCUUCUCCCUCUUGCCUGGAAUUGGGAACCAGUUUGUGCACCAAAAAUAGAAGUAUCAGUAAGCGGCUCAAAGGGACUUAAUCCCCUAGAUGCAGAUGAAAUCAAUUAAAAAAUUUGAAACUGGCAGCCUCUUAUAUUUUAAUUGCACAGUGCGGUGAUAUUCUGCCGAAAGCAAUUACAUUGUAGAUCUUCCCACACACAGACAGCCCCAGUUGUGCUCUAUGAAGACUAGUGGUUAAGUGUAUCAGGAAUCACGUCUGCGUUUCAAAAAUCCGUUUUCAUUCCGGCUUUGAAAUAAAGUUUCAGCAUUUUUGGACAGAAGAGGGGUUGUGGGAUUUAUUUAAUUUUUUGGACUAGCACAAUGAAAAUGCCCAUGUGCCCGGAGGAUAAUAUUGGUUUCAUUCCUAUUAAUUAAUCCAUUGCUUUUCCUGCAAGGACACUCUUCUGCCUCUUUGACUAUUUUUGAACAGGCAACUGUCGGAAAAGAUACCCCUGCUCAGCAUCAAAUGAACGAUUCCACUCAAAAGAAAAAUAUUUCCACAGGUUGAACAGGCCUUGAAGCCCAGUCUUCCAAAUUGUGGUUGAAGUGCUCAGAUCCAGUUCAUGCUAGUGAUAUCCCUUGCCCUCCCUUCAAAAUUAGCCCAUAUGAAUGGACCCUUUUGUAGCAGAGAAAGAAACAGACAGGGAUCACAAUGAUCUCUUUCU